UGAGCCUAAUUCGGAUUAGCUAGUUGGUGGGGUAAAGGCCCACCAAGGGGACGAUCCGUAACUGGUCUGAGAGGAUGAUCAGUCACACCGGAAAUGAGACACGGUCCGGACUCCUACGGGAGGCAGCAGUGGGGAAUAUUGGACAAUGGGGGCAACCCUGAUCCAGCCAUGCCGCGUGUGUGAAGAAGGCCUUUUGGUUGUAAAGCACUUUAAGCAGGGAGGAGAGGCUAAUGGUUAAUACCCAUUAGAUUAGACGUUACCUGCAGAAUAAGCACCGGCUAACUCUGUGCCAGCAGCCGCGGUAAUACAGAGGGUGCGAGCGUUAAUCGGAAUUACUGGGCGUAAAGCGAGUGUAGGUGGCUCAUUAAGUCACAUGUGAAAUCCCCGGGCUUAACCUGGGAACUGCAUGUGAUACUGGUGGUGCUAGAAUAUGUGAGAGGGAAGUAGAAUUCCAGGUGUAGCGGUGAAAUGCGUAGAGAUCUGGAGGAAUACCGAUGGCGAAGGCAGCUUCCUGGCAUAAUAUUGACACUGAGAUUCGAAAGCGUGGGUAGCAAACAGGAUUAGAUACCCUGGUAGUCCACGCCGUAAACGAUGUCUACUAGCCGUUGGGGUCCUUGAGACUUUAGUGGCGCAGUUAACGCGAUAAGUAGACCGCCUGGGGAGUACGGCCGCAAGGUUAAAACUCAAAUGAAUUGACGGGGGCCCGCACAAGCGGUGGAGCAUGUGGUUUAAUUCGAUGCAACGCGAAGAACCUUACCUGGUCUUGACAUAGUGAGAAUCCUGCAGAGAUGCGGGAGUGCCUUCGGGAAUUCACAUACAGGUGCUGCAUGGCUGUCGUCAGCUCGUGUCGUGAGAUGUUGGGUUAAGUCCCGCAACGAGCGCAACCCUUUUCCUUAUUUGCCAGCGGGUUAAGCCGGGAACUUUAAGGAUACUGCCAGUGACAAACUGGAGGAAGGCGGGGACGACGUCAAGUCAUCAUGGCCCUUACGACCAGGGCUACACACGUGCUACAAUGGUAGGUACAGAGGGUUGCUACACAGCGAUGUGAUGCUAAUCUCAAAAAGCCUAUCGUAGUCCGGAUUGGAGUCUGCAACUCGACUCCAUGAAGUCGGAAUCGCUAGUAAUCGCAGAUCAGAAUGCUGCGGUGAAUACGUUCCCGGGCCUUGUACACACCGCCCGUCACACCAUGGGAGUCUAUUGCACCAGAAGUAGGUAGCCUAACGCAAGAGGGCGCUUACCA
RNAcentral lists this ribosomal RNA (1240 nucleotides) under Faucicola osloensis. RNAcentral describes it as "bacterial SSU rRNA". It matches the Rfam family "Bacterial small subunit ribosomal RNA", at positions 226 to 1459 of the family's 1533-position model. The record is from RNAcentral. Lineage: Bacteria; Pseudomonadati; Pseudomonadota; Gammaproteobacteria; Moraxellales; Moraxellaceae.